Non-coding RNA from Vicia faba (fava bean), 219 nucleotides. The record is from the annotation of a GenBank genome assembly. Lineage: Eukaryota; Viridiplantae; Streptophyta; Magnoliopsida; Fabales; Fabaceae.
AUGAAGACUGCCAGAAUUUAUGUGUGUAUGGAGUCCAGCACGUGGGUUCCUCCUUGGUCAACUGUUCCGAGAAAACAAAUUUUGGACCCGUUAUUUCCGGAGGGCAAUAUGAGUAUAAUAUGGACACAUGGGCAACGUCUUCCUAGCGGAUACGUGGAGAAAUGCCCAACGCUCUCCAGCUUGGGUUGUAUGCCUUUGAGCCUUGGGCAAAGGCGCUGA